Molecule: ribosomal RNA, 397 nt
Filed under: uncultured bacterium
Lineage: Bacteria
Description: bacterial SSU rRNA
Rfam family: Bacterial small subunit ribosomal RNA
Source: RNAcentral
UAUUGCACAAUGGGGGAAACCCUGAUGCAGCAACGCCGCGUGAAGGAAGAAGGUCUUCGGAUUGUAAACUUUUGUCUUGUGGGAAGAUAAUGACGGUACCACAGGAGGAAGCUCCGGCUAACUACGUGCCAGCAGCCGCGGUAAUACGUAGGGAGCGAGCGUUGUCCGGAUUUACUGGGUGUAAAGGGUGCGUAGGCGGCUAGACAAGUCAGGUGUGAAAUACCGCAGCUCAACUGCGGGGCUGCACUUGAAACUGUAGAGCUUGAGUGAUGGAGAGGUAAGCGGAAUUCCUAGUGUAGCGGUAAAAUGCGUAGAUAUUAGGAGGAACACCAGUGGCGAAGGCGGCUUACUGGACAUUAACUGACGCUGAGGCACGAAAGCGUGGGGAGCAAACAGG